AGCAUUGAAACAUCAGUUCCCAUAUGAUCACUGAAGUUAAGCAAUGUUUAGCCUGGUAGGUAUCUAGAUAGGUGAUUGCUUGGGAAUAUCAGGUGCUGUAAG
Molecule: non-coding RNA, 102 nt
Organism: Acanthosepion pharaonis
Lineage: Eukaryota; Metazoa; Mollusca; Cephalopoda; Sepiida; Sepiidae
Source: the annotation of a GenBank genome assembly